RNAcentral lists this ribosomal RNA (450 nucleotides) under uncultured bacterium. RNAcentral's name for it is "partial 16S ribosomal RNA". It matches the Rfam family "Bacterial small subunit ribosomal RNA", at positions 354 to 796 of the family's 1533-position model. The record is from RNAcentral.
GUGAGGAAUAUUGGGCAAUGGGCGAAAGCCUGACCCAGCCACGCCGCGUGAGUGAUGAAGGCCUUCGGGUUGUAAAGCUCUGUGGGGAGGGAAGAAAAAGCGCAGGAGUAACUGCCUGUGUGUUGACGGUACCUCCUUAGCAAGCACCGGCUAACUCUGUGCCAGCAGCCGCGGUAAUACAGAGGGUGCAAACGUUGCUCGGAAUUACUGGGCGUAAAGCGCGUGUAGGCUGACAUGCAAGUCGGGUGUGAAAUCCCAGGGCUCAACCUUGGAACUGCACUCGAAACUGCACGUCUUGAGUACUGGAGAGGGAAGCGGAAUUCCGGGUGUAGAGGUGAAAUUCGUAGAUAUCCGGAGGAACACCAGUGGCGAAGGCGGCUUCCUGGACAGUAACUGACGCUGAGACGCGAAAGCGUGGGGAGCAAACAGGAUUAGAAACCCCGGUAGUCC